AGCUUGGGUAGUGCAGAUAUCGAUGUGGAUAUUUAACAACUAGUUACGGAUACAUGUUACAUGCUGUUUCUGCGUUUUUCAUGUUCGCAUAUCAACACGUGGCUGCUAUUCCCAGCGCAGAAGGCAAGUGUUAUGAUUAUAUUUAUUCAUCAGGCGUUUCGUUGCACCAAGAGAAGUGAAUUCAUUAUGGAUUGCAGAAUACUCGUCAUCUUUGGAGCGAUGUGUGUCAUGAUGGCGGUAUUUUGUGAUGCUAAUACGGUCUUGUCAAUGUUUAGGGGCAAAGGUGCAACUAUGCAACAUCCCUGGUGCGAGCUCUUGAUCGCGUAAGUGUUGCUAGUGCCCUCCACCCCUAAAUGUUGGCAAGACCUAAUUGGCGCACAACAUUGGGACCGACGCUGGAUCAGCAGAAGUCAAAAGACACAAUUGUGAGAACGGAAGUUUGAAGUUGUAAAGCUGAAAAUUUUAGUUGACGUGGCCGAGGAGAUAGCGGACAUGGCUUGUUAACUUUCAUUUGUAGUUGAGGUGAAUGAGACUGCACCAAGUUUUCCGCAUGUACUAUGCAUGCCUAUUGGCUUCUUGGUAUCUUGAUGAUUUUAGUCCACGAGCUAUGUGAACAUUACUGCCUCGUUUCUACGCAACGUUUUCAGUUUUGUCCUAUCUGCUAGUCCCUGAAGUUAGUGAGUUUUGGAAUUUUACUGACUACCAAUCCACACCCACUGUAAAUAGCUCUUUAGAAUAUUAAUUUGAUAUUUUCUUCUUGUCUAAUAUUCAUCUAGUUUUCGUCUUGGCUUUCAAGUUAACUUGUUUGUUCCUCCAUUAUUGAAAAUGCUCCACUAUGUUUUGCUUACUCUACUGAUUGAGGUCACUGAUUCAGCCUUUGGAAGGUAAUGUUACGAAACUAUAGUUUGGAGAGUCAAUCUGUCACGGAUAAGACGAACAAGUGUUCGUCAUUUGCAUGUGUAGCUCAAAUAUAAUCCACAAGUUGGCUUGUAAUAAUGGCUUAUCUUCAUUGGUUGUUAGGCCUGACAUAGGUAAACAAUUCUCAUGGCUAGUUUUGUGUCGAGAGUUCUCAUCUGCGGCACUCUUUUACUUGAUCCUUUUCAGUUUUCUUGUGUCGAAGGAAAAUCUCACCCAUCUCUUCAUUGUAUGCUCUAGAAUCUGAUUCCAGCCUCACCCGGUCCAAAUUCUCACUAGUUACAAAUUCUUUUGACAGGUACAUGAUUCCCUGCAUGUGCAAAUGUUUUCUCUCAUAUAUAUAUAUAUAUAUAUAUAUAUCCAAAUAUGCAUAUACUUAUGUGAUAGAAACUGAAGAUAUUCGAAAUCUUUGAAGAUUUGGUGCAGGGUUGAAAGGGAGAGUCUGUUUAUAUUGCACUCAAAAAAUGUUUCCUGUGAAACAUUGGAUAAUCAGUUUUGGCUUGUUUUCAUGAAUUUGUUUUAUUCAGAGGCCUCAUUGGAAUAAUUUUUUACUUCUAAGAUAUCCUUGAAGCAAUAAGAUUAAUUUCCUUCCAUAAUUGAUGAUAUCAAUUUUAACAUUCCAUAAUUGAUGAUAUCAAUUAUGGAAUGUUAAAAUUUUAAAUAUUUUGUUAAAGCAUAUAUUUGAUAAAAAUGUAUCAUGGACAUACAUGGAAAUUCUAGUAAAUAUUUAUAUGAUUAGGUAGGAAUAAAUAAAAGUAAAUAAAAGUAUUUCAUAAGAUCUUUUAGAGUAGCUUCCUAGAAGCUUCAUAGUUGCUGCUUGACUUUACAUGUGUUUGUAGUUGAUUGGUAGGUUAGAAACUUCAUCAACAAGUUAACCAUGUGUUGAUAGUUUGUGGAACAAGCUAAAUAUGUGGUGCAUACAUAAACAACUUGCCUUGUAAGUUAAGACAUGUGGCUAGCAAAGUUAACACAUGUUGGAGAUCCUAUAGAAUAUCGCCACAUAGUUCCUAGUUAGAGAGUAUAUAUAGAGGCAAGAGUAAAGUCUUUUUCACUCUUGUCAAUGCCUUUUUAGUCUUUAGUCUUGUUUCAAGAUUUUCUAGUCUUCUUGUUUUUGGCAGUAGCCAUUCUAGUUUAAUAUUACAUCAUUUUUUGAGUGACUUUUUAGUUUUCUUCAAUGAUACAAGAAUGUAUUGAUGACUUUCUUUCUUUGAGAUUCAUGUCUUUGAUAUAAUGUUAUAUUUAUUAAAAUAUGAUAUUAUAUUAUCUCAAAUUUUACAAUACAUACAAAUCUUAUAUUUCAAACACACAUUUUUACUCCUAUAAUUACUGUCAUUAAUUUCUCAA
This 2259-nucleotide long non-coding RNA is filed under the name Physcomitrium patens. Its description in RNAcentral is "long non-coding RNA (PPAT_LNC012580)". The stretch from base 242 to 382 matches the Rfam family "MIR904 microRNA precursor family". Lineage: Eukaryota; Viridiplantae; Streptophyta; Bryopsida; Funariales; Funariaceae. The record is from RNAcentral.